Musa acuminata AAA Group (dessert banana) is the source of this 5869-nucleotide long non-coding RNA. RefSeq lists it as uncharacterized. The transcript has 2 exons. The record is from RefSeq and is a predicted model, not a curated record. NCBI's taxonomy places the organism in Eukaryota, Viridiplantae, Streptophyta, Magnoliopsida, Zingiberales, Musaceae.
UUCCCACUUGUUUCGAUCCUUUCUAUUGCAAGUUCCCUGUUCGUUUCUCCUAUAAUUGCUCUGAUAUGUCUUAUUGCAAGUUCUCUGAUCGUCUCUCCUAUAAUUGCUCUGAUAUGUCUUAUUGCAAGUGUUCUAACCUUUUCUAUUGCAAGCUUUUUAAUCUUUUCUCUUGCAAGUAUCCUGAUCGUUCCUCGUUGCCAUUUUUAUCUCUACAUUUGCUUUGAAUAUGAGGAACUUUGAAUUGUUCUAGCCUUGCAUUUGAUAUAUCUCCUGUUUAGACGUAACGAUUCGAAUCUGUGCAACUUCUGAGAUUCUGACCUUUUGAUACCGAGCUGCCUAUAAGUCUUUGUGGAAACUCUGAUUUGUUCAAAACUGAUUUCAUUGGAAACUAGACUCGUAGACCUUUCCUUGAUAUAUGGAUUGAAAGAUUUGGAAUCUAAACACCUGCCCAGUUAUCUGUUGAAUCUGACAUUAUGAAUUCUGCCAACAAAGAUUUUGUUCUACGACACUUGCUUACCAAAUUAUUUGUAACUCUCUCUGUUGGACAGUUCAAUUCAUAUGAAGCCUGUCUUAUCUGAAAGUAUUAUCCAAUGAUUAUUUCUGAGUAAAUUGGAGCACGAUUGAUAGUUUGAAUCAUUUGUUCAAUGUGCCUUUUGUAUUCUGCCAGAAAUCGAGCUUUGGUCGAUUUCUCAUAUUCUGGUUUCAUUCCUUUGGAAGUUGAUACCCUUUAGCUUUCUUAUUCAAUUGAGCUUUAUAUUACUGCUUUGAAUUCUUUUAUGCUCUUGUCCCUAAAAUUAUUGCAUUCUUGAAAACUGUUGUGUAACGUUUAUGCUAUAUCGUAUUGACUCAUAUAGGCACAUGUAUAUCCUAUUGUUUCGCAUUUGCUUUUGAUAUGUGCCUAUUCCAGUUUCAUUCCUUUGGACAUUGAAUUCAUCAAAUCUUCUUAUUUGAAUUGAGCUAUAUAUGAUUGUUUGGAAUCCUUGAAUGCUCUUGCUUUCAUUUCGUUUCCAAAUCUGAAUACAUUUGUGAGAGAUUUGUCCCUUGCAUCCUAUUUGACACGUAAAGGCACAUGUACGUUUGUUGUUCCGCGUGUGCUUCCGAUAUUAUGCUACUUAUUGUUUAAACUGCCCUCUUGUAUUCUGGUGUUGUGGGAUAAUGUGAACCUUUGCCAGAAAUGGUAAAGGGAGUUAUGCAUAGAGCCUGCGAUGCUCUGCCGGCCCCCUCUGACUUCACCUAGACGUGGGUGGAUGGAGCUCCCAGACGUGGGAGACUUCUGUCUGGUGGUCAUUCAGAAAUGGAUGAAUCACAUUCUGUCUGUGAUCCCACUACACCCUCUAUAUGUUUGAUAUGACAUCCAGAGUUUUGGUGAGUUAUUUCUGUUCAUGCUCUGGAUAAGUAUGAUAUGAUUGCAACGUCAAGGACGACGUUUGAGCUUCUGUACGACAUAUGAGUUUGAUAUGCUCUGAAAUGCUUCAUUCAUUAUUGAUAUGUUUCGAAAUGUUCCAUAUGUUGUUGAUAUGCUCCGGAACAUUUUAUCUGCCAUUGAUAUGCUCCAAUUACUCUGGGCUCCAUUUGCUAUGAACUGAUAUGUUCUGAAAUGUCCUAUCUACCAUUGAUAAGCUCCGAUAUGUUUCCUUUGUUACUGAUAUGCUCUAAUUACUCUGUGCUCCAUUUGCUAUGAACUGAUAUGUUCUGAAAUGUCCUAUCUGCCAUUGAUAUGUUCCAAUUACUCUAUGCUCUAUUCGUUAUGGAUCAAAUAUGUUUUGAAUGACAUGAUACGUAUGAUUUGGUAUCUAUUGAGAUGGUAUCCUUGAGAAUUCUUGUAUUCUGCCUUGCAUUAUGAUACCUUACUCGUUUGAAACCGUUCCUUUUGUUCUGAAUAUGCUUUGUCACUUGCUGAGCCGUUUUUGGCUCACUCCGUUGUUAUAUAAAUCUUUCAGGUCAGCUUGUCACUCUUCGAGAUGUUGAUUUGGGCUGAGGCAGUGGAUAGCUAUUCAGAAUUAUGGGCAAGUCUGGGUGGUUAUUAUGAUAUUGUUGUAUAAGUAUGUUUUGUAUGUAAUGAAAUGUUGUCGAUGAAUCGAAAUGGAUAUACUGUGUAAAAGUGUUAGAAGAUCUCUCUUAUUUGGAAUUUCGGAAUGUUAAGUCUAAUUUAUGACGAUAUGAACUUGUGGUGAAUAGUUGGAGUUCUGAUUGUAUAAUUUAUUUAGCUUGUGGAUUUAUAAAUGUUGUUCAUGUUUGUCAAGUUGGCUUGGGUUGCCAUAAAUGUGAAUUAUCGAGUGAUGUGAUAUAUGAUUUUAAAAUGCACAGGUUUUAUGGAUGUGAAUUUGAUUGAAUGUUUUUCAGUGUCCUCAAACGUUAGUUUGGAUCCUGGAUGGAUUGGUCUGUGAUGAAAAUUGUUUUAAUAUCAUGGAUAAUAUUUUGAGGGGCGUGACAGAGGUGGUAUCAGAGCAUUGUUUGAGGAUUACUGAAAUAUUUGAUAUGUUGACAUGCAAAAUAUAUUGAGGUCUAGUGAACUAUAGUGAUUGGUGGAAAUUUUCUUUGAUGUAUUUUAGGAAUCUGGGAUGAUGAGGACAUUGGUCCUCCUAUUUCAUUUGUUUCUGAUUAAUUAAGGGGAAUGAAAGGAUUGAUCGAGGAUAUUGAAUCAGAGUGGCGCAGCGGAAGCAUGGUGGACCUAAUUUCAUUGGUGGUAGAAAAAUGGAUGAUGCGAAUAGAGAAGAUAUUCGAUGUAUAAAAUUGUUCUGAUGAUCGAAAUAUUUCUUUUGCUACCUUAUAUUGGAAGUAGAGGCUGAUUAUUAUUGGCAACAAUGAAAAGAAUUUUUGGAGAUAUGUGGCAAGAAUAAUAAGGAUAAGUUUAGCAAUAAGAAUAUGAUUGGAAAUGAAUCAGAAAGUAAUGACAAGAGGGUCAAGACAUUUGGAUUUGAAAAGGAAAGUCACCACCAAAGACUUAAUCAUGUGUGAAUUACAAGUUAAAUUAUGAAACAAGUUUGUGUUUUCGGGUGAUUGGAGUCUAUUUUGCUUGUAGAAAGUUAGAUCAUAAAAUAAAAGUUUGCCCUUUGAACAAGAAGAAAGAGUCACUGCCUCCUAAAUCAUCAGCCCAUGUCAGAGUGUAUGCUAUCACUGAAUAUGAUUCUAAGACUUCUGAAUUAGUGGUCGAAGGUAUUAUGCAUGUUUAUGAAAGAAUGCAAAUAUUUGUUCGACCAUGGGUCCAAUCUACGAUUUGAUUCGUAAUAUUUUGCUUAUCACUUGGGUAUUCAACCUAGACCACUGUAUUAUGUGGUAUAUGUAAGUACGAUCAUUAGAGAUUCUUUGAUAACGAACUUGAAUCUGGUCCUCUUGUCUGAUUUUUAUUGGAGAACUUGAACUUUUGCUGAUUUAGUUCUCCUAGAGAUUUGGAGUUAUGAUAUUAUACUUGGUAUGGAUUGGCUAUCUUCUUAUCAUACCAGUAUGGAUUGGUAUAUAACCAAUGAUCACUUUUUGUGUAUUUGAUCAGCCGAUCUUUUAUUUUGAGAGUAUUGGGACAUGAUUUAUCUCUUUGCCUAAUGUAUCCCAGGAUGACUUGCUUGGAUUAUCUCCAAAUGUGAUCUUGCUUUUGAUUUGGUCCUUUGGACAAUCCCAAUAUCUAAGCCUCUCUACAGAAAGAUAUCAUUUGAGUAAGUGGAAUUGGAAAAGCAACUACAAGGAUUAUUAAAUGAGGAUUUUAUUUGGCUUAAUAUUUCAUCAUGGGGUGCUCUGGUGUUAGUUAAAAAGAUGUAUGGAACAUUGAGGCUUUGUAAUGAUUAUAGACAAUUGAAUCAGGUGACAAUAAAAAAUGAGUAUUUCCUGAAGUAACGACUUGCUUGAUUAACUGUAGGGUGCGCAAGUAUUUUUAGAAAAAUUGCUUGAAGGUCGGGUUACCGUCUAUUGAGGAUCAAGGAGGAGAAUAUUUCGGUCCCUCGUGGAUAAUUAUGUAAUUGUAUUGUAUUGAUGAAACUAUUUAAGAGUAGGAGGAGGAAAUAGAGAUAUCAUAAUCCUCAUCUUUUCAUCGAUUGAGCUAUGAUCAAUUUAGAGGACUAAAUUUUCUUUUAAGGGGGGGAGAGUGUAAUAUCCCUCGCUUUUAAAAAUUAUUAAUAAAGAUUUAUAUGUAAAUUGGAGGACCUAUAUGUAAAUAUAGAAAUUACAAGGACUAAACUGCUAAGUUGCAAAAAAGAAAAAAAAAGGGAAAACCGAAAAUUCGGUAUUAUCCCACCGCCUCCCACGCACUCUGUUUCUUCCAGAAACAGAGAGAGCGGUGGGGCGUGAGGACAAGAAGGAGAGUGGUAGAAGAAGAGGAGGUGGCUGCAGCGAGGGCUGCAGCGAGAAGCUGUGGGGCGUGGGGAGAAGAAGAGAGGAAGAAGAGGGAGAAGAGAAGAAGAAGAAGAAGAAGAAGAGAAGAGGAUAGCUGCGGCAAGGCUGCAGCGAGGAGGUGUGUGGGGUUGGGGAGGAAAAGGGAAGAGGAGAAGAAGAGGGAAAAGAGAGGGAAGAGGAGAAGAAGAGGGAAAAGAGAGGGAAGAGGGAGAGGAGCGAGAGGUGGCAGCAGCUAGGGCUGCAGCACCUCUGUUUCCUGCAGGUGGAAACAGAGGAGAGGUGUGGGGCGUUCGAAGAGGAGAAGAAGAAGAAGAGGAAGAGGAAGCAGGGGAAGAGGUUGUGAUACCUCUGUUUCCUGCAGACGAAACAGAGGAGAGGGUGUGGGUGACGUCGGGGAGAAGAAGGGAAGGAAGGAGAAGAAGAGAAGAAGAAGAAAGGAAGAAAAGGCUGUGGCCGUGGCUGAGGCUGCGACUGCAGCAUGCAGCUGGGAAAGAAGAGAAGGAAAGGAAGAAGAAGAGAAAGGAAGAAGGGAAGGAGAGGAAGAAGAGAAGGGGCUGCGGCUGCGGCGAUGGCAGCUGCAGUUGGAAGAGAAGAAGGAGAGGAAGAUGAGCAGGGGAGGAAGAAAAGGCUGUGGCCGUGGCUGAGGCUGCGACUGCAGCAUGCAGCUGGGAAAGAAGAGAAGGAAAGGAAGAAGAAGAGAAAGGAAGAAGGGAAGGAGAGGAAGAAGAGAAGGGGCUACGGCUGCGGCGAUGGCAGCUGCAGUUGGAAGAGAAGAAGGAGAGGAAGAUGAGCAGGGGAGGAAGAAGAGGCUGCGAGUGUGGUGGCUGCGGCCGUGGCUGCGACUCCGGCUGCGGCUGCGACGUUGGCUGCGGUAGCUGCGGCAGCGGUGGUGGCUGCAGUAGCUGCAGUAGCUGCUUUUGGGAAAGAGAAAGAGUAGGAACGAGAGAAGGGAAGAAGGAAAUAGUGCAGUGGAAGGGGGCUGCGGUUGUGACCGCAGUUGCGGUCGUGGCUGCGAUUGUGGCAGCGGCAGCGACGGCGGCUGUGGCAGCUGUGUUUGGGAAAGAAAAAGAAGGAAUGAGAGUAAGAGAGAGCAGGUGACUGUGCCUCGAUGUUCGACACGUGGUGUAGUUGCGAAGAAAGGAAGAAAACGGGAGCACAAAACGAAACAGAGAGAGGACACGGAGGAAAAGUAGAAAGAUUGGAUUGGCACCUUCCUUGGAUAUUCAGAUCAAAAUAUUUGAAAGGUCAGCUUGUCACUCUUCGAGAUGUUGAUUUGGGCUGAGGCAGUGGAUAGCUAUUCAGAAUUAUGGGCAAGUCUGGGUGGUUAUUAUGAUAUUGUUGUAUAAGUAUGUUUUGUAUGUAAUGAAAUGUUGUCGAUGAAUCGAAAUGGAUAUACUGUGUAAAAGUGUUAGAAGAUCUCUCUUAUUUGGAAUUUCGGAAUGUUAAGUCUAAUUUAUGACGAUAUGAACUUGUGGUGAAUAGUUGGAGUUCUGAUUGUAUAAUUUAUUUAGCUUGUGGAUUUAUAAAUGUUGUUCAUGUUUGUCAA